UGAGUAACGCGUGGGUAACCUGCCUCAUACAGGGGGAUAACAGUUAGAAAUGACUGCUAAUACCGCAUAAGCGCACGGAAUCGCAUGAUUCAGUGUGAAAAGCCGAGACGGUAUGAGAUGGACCCGCGUCUGAUUAGGUAGUUGGUGAGGUAACGGCCCACCAAGCCGACGAUCAGUAGCCGACCUGAGAGGGUGACCGGCCACAUUGGGACUGAGACACGGCCCAA
This 227-nucleotide ribosomal RNA is filed under the name uncultured bacterium. RNAcentral's name for it is "partial 16S ribosomal RNA". It matches the Rfam family "Bacterial small subunit ribosomal RNA", at positions 107 to 334 of the family's 1533-position model. The record is from RNAcentral.